This 1427-nucleotide long non-coding RNA is filed under the name Camarhynchus parvulus. RNAcentral describes it as "lncRNA (ENSCPVG00000018175.1)". Lineage: Eukaryota; Metazoa; Chordata; Aves; Passeriformes; Thraupidae. The record is from RNAcentral.
AGCCUAAUCAUCUGGUAAAUGCUGUUUCCGUCACUUCUGUGGGACCGGACUGUUGAGGAGCUCGGUGUGCCUCACACAACAUGUGCUGCACCCGCGAAAAAUCUCCAACUUGAGAUUUUGAUGGAGGCUGAAACUGUGUGCUGGCUGCUGUGGUUGCCUGUGUGCGGGCUGCUGGGGCUGGCUGCGUGCCCGCCGCCACGGGACCGGAGCAGGGCCGGUACCUCGGGCACCCUCUGCACCCUGACCACGCCCUGUCCCUGCCCGUGCCCUCACGGGAGCGUGGAUGCCCCCGCCCCGACCGCGCCUCCCCUGCGCUCGUCUCGGCGCAGGCGCGGUCUCGGGAACGCCCCCUCUGCCUGUGACCGACACCCGCGCUGCCGCGAUCCCGAUCUGGCUCCGUGCCAACGCCCGCGACCGGCGCGCGCGGUCCCCGCUCGGCCGGUGUCCGUGCCGCCUCUGCGAACUGGGGAAAAAACCCUGCCCGCUCCGACUUCCGGGUUUUUGCGUCAUUAUCGGGCGCCUGCCGCGCUCCGUAGCGGUUGCAGGGACGCUGCAGUCGUCCCGUCUGCUUUAAUCCCGCCCGGCGCAGCUGCCGCGACCCGUGCGCGUUCCCCGGGUGGCCGCUGCUCGCGCGCCAUCGCAGUCGGGCGGCUUGUCCCCUUCGCGUGCGUCUUUGACACCCCCUGCGUGAAACUGCCGCCGCCAACGCGCAUGCGCCCGCCUCCGCCGUGCCUCCCGCUCCCGCGGUCCCGCGCUCCGCUCCGCCCGGCCGGGCCCCGCUCGGGGCUGCCCUCGCCGCCGCCGGCCACGCCCUGGACGGCUGCUGACCGCCCGCUGUUGCGAUUGCGUGCACCGCCGUGCGCGUUGUCGCCUCCAGUGCUGCUGUGCCUGCGACUCCCCCGCUGCCGCCGUGGCCUCCCCGCCCUCCGCAGCCCCUGCGGCCGCCUCUGCGGCUCCCCCGGGCUGCUGGCCGGCCGGCGCCGCCGUGGCACGGGUUCGCCAGUCGCCGAGAAGCAGCUCUCCCCCGGGUUCCCCGACCCCCUCUGCCCUCCUCCCUCUGAAAGUUCUGGGAUUUCUGGGCUUUCUGGGGACCCAUGGGACCCUGGGGACUCUGGAGAUGAUGCCAGUUCCUCCCACACCUGUUUGCCAGGCGUUACUUUUGCCCCUCCCUGGUCGGUAAGGGCAACUACCACCUGCUGAUGGCAGGAUGGCUUCCCUUCCCCCAUCCUUGAGAGAAUACUUGCUGCCUGCUGAUAGCUGGCAGACCCCGCGGAAUUCCACGAAAUUGCCUCCAACAUUACCCUUGCUGGGGAUAAAAGCUUCAAGGCCGUUUUAUCUUUUUUUCAGAGAUUUUUACAGGGUGUGUGGCUGUCAUGCCCUGUAGGGCUGGCAAGAUGCUGGGUUGUUCCUGGGAGCAUGUACCCCCC